This is a long non-coding RNA of Stegostoma tigrinum, 629 nucleotides long. RefSeq lists it as uncharacterized. NCBI's taxonomy places the organism in Eukaryota, Metazoa, Chordata, Chondrichthyes, Orectolobiformes, Stegostomatidae. The transcript has 2 exons. The record is from RefSeq and is a predicted model, not a curated record.
CAAGUAUUUCUGGGAACAAUAAUAACACUGAACUGAGGAGCAGAGGGCUGAGUGAAAAUAGACUGCAGCCUUGAAAAGAUGUGGGCCCAAGCGUUUUGAGGGAGUGCAAAAAAAUUUCAGAAAUGUGUUAUUGAUGUUCAUGGGAAAAGCUGCAAUGGAUGAAGAUAGUUCAAAUAAAUGGAUCAAAAAGUUGCGGAAUCUGAUCAGAAGGACUACACAAAGAAGAAAGUUGAUCAUGAGGGACAUGCGUUCAACGCUAAGUUUGUAGAGAUGCAGUUGAGAUGUGAGAUUAACUAACUGGUUGUUCCCAGUGAUCUCGUGAGCAUUGUUCAAUUUUUUGGAUGUGAAUAUGAAUAAGUCUCUCAUUUAUUUUAUACUGCAUUUGUGGUGCAACUGGACAUUGAUAGGCAUGAAAAUCUUCACUAAAGAUGGAAAUAUGAGAGAAUCUGAACUACUAAAUUGUAUCAAUGCAUCAUAGAUGCAUGGAAUGAACUUGAUAACAUUAUUGGUCACAAAAUUCCUAAAAUGCGGAAAGUUGAAUGAGUUUGACAUCUUUGAAUCAUUUUUUGAAAUGAUUGAAGUUUGCUAUAUGUUCAUUUCAUGUUUUACAUUAAAUUGAAUUCAACAUU